AAGAGGAGCUGCAACCCCGCUGCCGUGCGGGAAAGUCCCGACUUGCCUGCCUCUUGCGCAACCAAGUGACUACUUGGGAGCUCCCCGGGGUCACAGCGGGCAGGCAGCGCUACGGAGCCAGGCGAAGAGCGCCUCGCUCUGCCCAUGCCCUCAACCCACGUCGGGAAAGAAGGGCCAGAAAUGCCCAAGUUCCGAGGACGGGGCUUGGGGGACGCUCGAGCCUUUUAACAACCACGGGGGGACGGAACUGGAGAGCGAGUCUCCUGGAGAAGCGGACGGCCGCCCAGGAAAGCUCUGUCGGGCAGGCGCCCUCUCGCUUCGCCGGGAGCGGGAUCCAGCGGCAGCUGCACCGGAGGGGAGGGGAUUGCAAAUGGAUUCACAAAGCUAGAUUUCCAAUACAGCAUUGGUGUGGUAGAUGGAAGUGACAUCCAGAUUCAAACAACCACUGGUAAAGGAAAUUUUGAUCUUCAGAUCAGACUCACAGGAGUUGGACUUCACAUCACAGACUAUUGGCCAUGUGUUCUGGUAGACUGUUGAAUCCCCCUUCUGGCUUCCCUGCUCUGUUUCUGUUUCCCUAACGGCUGGUAGUUCCCUGGUAGUUCUCACAUACCAGGCAAACCUCACACUGUAAUCUGACACCCUGAGCCUGCAGCCUGGACCAGCUGAGAAUUCUCCAAGAAGGCUCAGAAAACUCAAAUUCAUUUUGUGGAGGACCAGGAAAAGUUCACCCAUUAUUAGGUGCACAAGUCCCAAACACAUAUCUGACUUUACAAAAGUGUCAUAAGAUGAAUGAUAUUUGUUGAAUUAUUUGUAUCCACCUUUUUCUUGCCAGCCCUUCUUCCCAUGCACAUUUCUGGUAACUCUUCAUGGGCUCUUGUUUUUCUGUAGAACCAUUCACCCCUUAAAACUCAUAGCUGCGCUCUCAUUCUCAUAUGGCUCAUUACAACUUUGGCAUGUGCAGGAAGAAACACCGUUUCAGUAUAUUUUCCUUUAAAAAUGUUACUAGUUAACAGCCUUUGGCCCAGGUAUUACCAUUUGAUUUUAACUACAUACUGCUUUGUCCACUUACAGGAUGCUGAGUACUACAGAUCUGUAGACCUAAUAUGGUUUAAAAAUGAAAGCUGAGGUUCAAAAAACCCAAUGUUUGUGAAUUACAUAAAUAAAAUAUUGUAUUACUGCUUACUGAAUCUAAUGUGCAAAAUCUAGUCUUUACUAACACACCAUCUGAAAUU
Long non-coding RNA from Sphaerodactylus townsendi, 1232 nucleotides. RefSeq lists it as uncharacterized. The record is from RefSeq and is a predicted model, not a curated record. NCBI's taxonomy places the organism in Eukaryota, Metazoa, Chordata, Lepidosauria, Squamata, Sphaerodactylidae. The transcript is spliced from 3 exons.